Molecule: long non-coding RNA, 2310 nt
Organism: Ricinus communis (castor bean)
Lineage: Eukaryota; Viridiplantae; Streptophyta; Magnoliopsida; Malpighiales; Euphorbiaceae
Exons: 2
Source: RefSeq, a predicted model, not a curated record
AGUAAUUUAGGAGUAAAUGCAAACUUGUAUCUCAUAGGUAUCCUCCAAUCCCCUCAGUGUAGAAUUUUCAAUAUGGAAAGUGAAAUGAUAGAGUAUAUGCUCUUUUUGUACAACGAGCCUUUCAAGGUGUGGUUCUCAAGUUUAUUGGGGUAUAGACAUCUUUUAUUGGCUUCUUCUCUGUGGCAGACUGGUGGAAGUGUAUUUGUGCCUCUUUUGGGAGCUUGGAGCAAGGCAAAAUUUUUUGAUCAUAUCAUGCUUAUCUGCUGGGAAAUUUGGAAAAUGCCUAAUGCAUUAGUCUUAAUGCAUGAAGUAUCUAAUCCUAAAACCGUGUGGGAUACAGAGCCCACUUGGAAAUAAAAAGUUGUGCUUCUCUGUUUGCUUCAAUUAUUCAUAUCCCUUGUGGCGACAGAAAUUGGUCCUACUGGUGGUAUUUGGAUCAGACCUCCAAUUGGCAUCUUGAGUUUCAAUGUUGAUGCAGCCUUCUCGUAUAGAGAAAGGUACGUGGGCUUGGAACUGGUUAAUGGUGUUACAAGGAAAAUGGUAGCAAGUUUGGGUUAGUUGGGGAAGCUUUGGCCCUAAAGGAGGCUUUGCCCCUCGCAAUAGAUAUGGGCAUAACAUAUGCCAUUUUUGUAUCUGAUGAAAUGGAAGUGGUUCAAGCUGUUGACAAAGUUCAUAAGGACCUUUUAGUCUUGGAAAAUUGAAGCUAUUAUUUUAGCAAUUUCCAGAUUGGACAUGGAUAAUCCUGAUUUUACUUUUAGGCAUGUUAAAAGAACAACAAACACUCCAGCAGAUUAUGUAGCAAAAAUUGUGCUUAAGCAAGAGCUUCAUUCUCUUUGAUUAUGUUGCAUAACUUAUGUAACCCUCCUCCUCAGUUAAGGGAACUCUUACUGCUUGAUACUCGCAAAGCCAUCGUUUUCAGUUAAUGAAAUUCCAGUUUUUUUGAUAAAAAGAUCAGAUUAAUUGGGUUAAAUUCAAGUAUCAAUGGUUCCCAGAGUUCUUUUCUUUUUUGGUAGUCUUAAGAUAUUCAGUCAGGAAUCAUAAAUUCAAAGUGGAAAAUUGUAAUUUUACUAUCAAUUUUAUGGGCCAAAUGCAUGAUGAGAGCCCAAGUACCUCCCUUGUUGCCUAAAACUCACUAUAGGUUUCAGAAGUAAAUUAACCGAUACCACUCUUAAAUUUCAGUGCUCGAAGAAUACCCUCACAUCGCCUUCUCAGUUCCUUUACCAACGAGAAAGCAAAACAUAAAGCUAAAUUUGGAAUCUAAGUAUACAAUCAAGAAAGGUGUUUUCUUGCCCUUUGCCUGCUUCUAUAAUCCCUGAAAUUGAUGUCUGGAAGUCUGAUCCUUGGAACUUUCCAGAAUUUGCAUUUGAACUCUAUUAAAGAGAAGAAUAAAGUAGAGAGAGACAGAGAGAUAGAAGGAAAGAUGGGUAGGGAACGCAGUUGCAGUGAUAGAGAGCUCAUGGGUAAUUCCAAUUUCAUAUUUUGUCAAUGAAAUUGUAUCUGAUCCUUACAUGGUAAUAACAUUUCUUUUCAUUUCUAAAGCUUUGAUCUUAUUAUUUUCUUAAAAAAUAUAAUCUGAAGAAUCCCAUUAAUUGGUGUGCGGGUAUGAGAUAUGUCCUAUGCCUCAAGCUCAACAGUACUGCAAGAGUAUUAUUUUGAGUUGGGAUCCUUUGAUUAGAACUCCACCUGGAUUGUAUGCUUUCUGCUACCUCUUUCCAAUUAUAAUAUUUUUAAUUAUGUGUAUUAUCUCAUUCUGUAUCUGUAUCAACAUUAUUAAUGUUUUAAAUUGAAUGAACUGAUUUAUUGCAUCUAUAGUAUUUAUGUAAGUGGCCCAGACAUCUCCAAAAACUGUUGAAGGUCUCGCUGAGGUGAGGGAAGCAGAAGCAAUGUGGCUGAGAGAAGCUUUAUCAUGGAUCAAAAGGAUGGGUUGUAAAAAAGUCAACUUUGAAAUGGAUUCCCGUACGUGGUUAAUGCUGUGAAAGAUAAUGCUUUUGAUAUCACUGAGUUUGGUCCUAUUAGCAUGUCUUGUGUAGACUUUCUUUCUAAGUUAUUUUUUUUUUUUUUGUGAAAAGACAAGAAAAUGAGAUUGCUCAUGUGUUGGCUAGAGCAUCUCAUUUAAAUGCUAGUCAUAUGUCUUGGCAUGAGCCUCCAAACACAGACCUAAACCCUAGGUACUGUAGAAGAAGGUUAGAGAGGAGCAAAGGAAGGAGGUACUUUUCUUGGAUUGCUUUUCACUAGGCGUGAUUUUUACUGUUGUAUCCUGCGGAGCUGUUUUCUUGAGUUAAUGAAGUUGAUCAUUAUUUUCUUUUAAAA